RNAcentral lists this ribosomal RNA (460 nucleotides) under uncultured bacterium. RNAcentral describes it as "partial 16S ribosomal RNA". It matches the Rfam family "Bacterial small subunit ribosomal RNA", at positions 338 to 795 of the family's 1533-position model. The record is from RNAcentral.
CCUACGGGUGGCAGCAGUGAGGAAUAUUGGUCAAUGGACGAGAGUCUGAACCAGCCAAGUCGCGUGAAGGAUGACUGCCCUAUGGGUUGUAAACUUCUUUUAUAUGGGAAUAAAGUGUUCCACGUGUGGGAUUUUGUAUGUACCAUAUGAAUAAGGCUCGGCUAACUCCGUGCCAGCAGCCGCGGUAAUACGGAGGAUCCGAGCGUUAUCCGGAUUUAUUGGGUUUAAAGGGAGCGUAGGUGGAUUGUUAAGUCAGUUGUGAAAGUUUGCGGCUUAACCGUAAAAUUGCAGUUGAAACUGGCAGUCUUGAGUACAGGAGAGGUGGGCGGAAUUCGUGGUGUAGCGGUGAAAUGCUUAGAUAUCACGAAGAACGCCGAUUGCGAAGGCAGUUCACUGGACUGCAACUGACACUGAGGCUCGAAAGUGUGGGUAUCAAACAGGAUUAGAUACCCGGGUAGUC